Drosophila pseudoobscura is the source of this 1014-nucleotide long non-coding RNA. RefSeq lists it as uncharacterized. The record is from RefSeq and is a predicted model, not a curated record. The transcript is spliced from 2 exons. NCBI's taxonomy places the organism in Eukaryota, Metazoa, Arthropoda, Insecta, Diptera, Drosophilidae.
UUUGGGUUUUUCGGCUGCUGCUGCUUGUUUUUAGAUGCAGGCAAAGUCUAAACACUUUCACUAAGCAGCAGAGACACAUAACAACAACAACAACAACAACAAAAACCCAAUCCACCAAAGGCUACACGAAUUUCGUGUCGUACAUGACAAACUCUCAGCUCCCUCUACGUCUCUGCCUGUGUCUGUGCCUGUGCCUGUGUCUCUGGCCUAAAGGGGGGCUAAAGAGUUGGCCUAUAAUGCAGGAAUGUAGGGGGAGACGGAGACGCAGUGCCUGUGGAAGUGGAAGUGGGAGGACAACAAACUGGCUCAUCAUCUUAGCCCUGGCCAACAGCCAAAAGUACAGUGUAUACUCGAAUGCCAUAAAAGGGUAUUUUUCCCUCCCAUUUCAUAAUUAUUACUUCCUGAAAUUCUUCUUACGUCCAUGCACCCUAAUGUCAUUAAAUAUAUGUAAAUAUCCAAUGCCAUUUUGCCUCUUUUCUUUAUGCCCAAGGAACAGUUUAUGGAACACACAUUAUUCGAACACGAUUCAUUAUUCGUAAUAGCCGAUGGUUGGAAGGUCAUCGAUAAAAGUGAUCGAAUUAGGAUCGAACUAGGAUCAUCUCUGAGAUGGAAUGAACGCUUUAAAAAUAUACCAAUUGAACAUCACUUGAGGAUGAUGAAGGAGUUAGCAAACCAUCGCGAGCUUUGAGAGAGUUUAUUGCCUCUGGGACUGGAAACGCGGUUGGGGGACUGGCACCGAGGACUGGGCACUGGGACUCUGUGGCGACAUUGAUUAACGAGUGCUUAGUUAAAGCGGCACUCAGACACGCGCUGCUAAUGCCACAAUGCCACAAUGCCACCACACAACACCAGACACAUACAUACAUACAUAUUUGAAGAUACACCAACGAUACAGCAGCACAGCCGACAGACACCCAACAAUCAUCAAUGAUAGACCACAACAGCAGCAUCAAAAGUCAACAGCAAUUGCGACAAAAGCGGCAAAAUACUGCAAUAAUAAUUCUCUCUCUCUCU